This 429-nucleotide ribosomal RNA is filed under the name Bacillota bacterium. Its description in RNAcentral is "Firmicutes bacterium partial 16S ribosomal RNA". It matches the Rfam family "Bacterial small subunit ribosomal RNA", at positions 355 to 776 of the family's 1533-position model. The record is from RNAcentral. Lineage: Bacteria; Bacillati; Bacillota.
UGGGGAAUUGUUCACAAUGGGCGCAAGCCUGAUGACGCAACGCCGCGUGGGGGAUGAAGGUCUUCGGAUCGUAAACCCCUGUCGAAUGGGACGAAAGACCCGGGAGCUAAUCAUCCUGGGAGUGACGGUACCGUUAAAGGAAGCCACGGCUAACUCUGUGCCAGCAGCCGCGGUAAUACAGAGGUGGCAAGCGUUGUUCGGAAUUACUGGGCGUAAAGGGCGCGUAGGCGGCCAUCUAAGUCAGACGUGAAAUCCCCCGGCUUAACCUGGGAACUGCGUCUGAUACUGGACGGCUCGAGUUUGGGAGAGGGAUGUAGAAUUCCAGGUGUAGCGGUGAAAUGCGUAGAUAUCUGGAGGAAUACCGGUGGCGAAGGCGGCAUCCUGGACCAACACUGACGCUGAGGCGCGAAAGCUAGGGGAGCAAACGGG